Long non-coding RNA from Melanotaenia boesemani (Boeseman's rainbowfish), 167 nucleotides. RefSeq lists it as uncharacterized. The record is from RefSeq and is a predicted model, not a curated record. The transcript has 4 exons. NCBI's taxonomy places the organism in Eukaryota, Metazoa, Chordata, Actinopteri, Atheriniformes, Melanotaeniidae.
CAGUGGGUUUAUACACUAAAGCCUGGUACACAUAAAGAUUAUCGGGCUGUUUUUGUCCCAGUUUUGCCUCUUCCCGACCAAGGAUGGCAAACGCCUGAUUAUCGUGGGUCUUAUCAGAUUUUUCUGUACAAUUAUCAUUUGGUCUGAGGUGUAUUACGAGCAGAUUG